RNAcentral lists this unclassified non-coding RNA (259 nucleotides) under Hevea brasiliensis (rubber tree). Lineage: Eukaryota; Viridiplantae; Streptophyta; Magnoliopsida; Malpighiales; Euphorbiaceae. The record is from RNAcentral.
CUCGGGUUAAGCUAGUAGUCCAUUGGGUGGUGGGAUCUCCUUAUUCCUAUUUACCUUGGCUGGGAACUGAAAUCAAAGCCUAAUCCGGGCUAAUAUGUCAAAGCAGUCAUCUGAAAGCCUUCUCUAAUUGUGGAAGAGAAAAAAUGCUUUUUUCUUUAAAUAGAGCUACUUUCCCUCUUCUCUUAUUUCAUUCACUCAUUUCUCUAAUUAUCAUUACCCCUUACCCUCUCUCACAUUCCACCAAGAACUAAUAGGCCUU